Molecule: long non-coding RNA, 894 nt
Organism: Rana temporaria (common frog)
Lineage: Eukaryota; Metazoa; Chordata; Amphibia; Anura; Ranidae
Exons: 4
Source: RefSeq, a predicted model, not a curated record
GGCGCUCGCGAUCGCAACAGAGGGUUGGGGUUAAUUCCCUUCUCUGACGCCGAGGAGCUCACAGCUGGGAGGGUCAUCUGACCCUGGCAUCCUGGUUCAGUUGGAGGAGCCUGUUUGGGAGGGGCAGUCCACCAGGUUGGACAGGGAUUUUCCAAGCAAGGCAUCAGCUGCCUAAGAGUGAUUACCUAAGUGGAAGCACCUGACAUGCACAUACUUAAACACACUAGGUGUACACCUGACACCUGCCUGUGAUCCCAUUCCCAUACCUUACUGGAUACACCACACAGAGGAUACGCCUACUAAUGCCUCUUCUGGAAUUUGUUGCUACAAUUUAUUAUUAUACAUUCAAACAAGGCAUCACUCAGGCAGCUUGCUUUGCUGGGCCCCCUGCCCACCUGCCCGGCCCACGCUCCCUGGCUGUAUUUGGAUUCCUUCCCACUCACACUGUGAGUUCCUGUAGGCCACUCAUAAGGGGCAUUUCUGAGGACUCUCGUGUGGGGGUACAGACCACCCGUAUGGAGACAAGUUAUCAGGGAUCCUCAGGACUUUAAUUCUACUCUGGUCCAAAUAAAACUGAGAAACACAACCUUUUGCAUCAUAUACCUUUUCCUCCGAAGAAGACUCACAUGCAAGGGUCGAAACGCGUCAGGAACAUUUUGACUUAAAGAUCAGCCAAUCAUGUUGAUCAAUGUCAUGCAACUUUGAUGCUUUAUCAUCAUAUGUAUGUGUUCUCAAUGUUUAAAUUGUACCAGAGCUCAUUGUUUUAUAAUCAAACUUGUUCUACUUGCUAAAAUAAAUAUCUUUUCUACCUUUUUUACAAAUAUUGGUACGUCUUUGUAAUUUCCCACAACAAGCAACAACAAUUGCUGCCUAAAAACCCCACUGGGGAAACUG